AGAGUGAGGAGCCGCGUGGGGCUGCGCGCACAGCGGGCGCGGCCGGAGGCGGCGGGAGCGCGGCGGAGGACGGGGCUGGGCAGAGACUGCCCUCUCGGCUGGGAAAAUCCUUUCCGGAUCCUUUUCAUCAGAUGAAACAGUAAGAUGUCCAAAAGGUACUCCUUCCCACAGCCUCCCAGGACUGCUACCAGAUACAUGUGACGACUGACAAGAGAUAAGUUAAAAUAAAUAACUGGAAGUAAAUGAAAACAUGGAAACAGUCAAGGAGUCAUAGGACCAAAGAGCAUGAUACUCCAGGCUAGUAAUUUCACUAUUCAAUGCCCUGAGUUUUGUUGCCGUUUCCUAUAUAGGCAGCCUCAGCAAGCCUAGAGGAUGCAGAGUCGACCUGAGUUAAGAUAUGUGCUGUGAGUGAAAAAGCUUGAUUCAGUUUUUCUCCUGAGGAGAAGGUGGCUGCUUCAGUUCUGCUGCACCUCAGGAUGUGUUGUACCUAGGCAAGUCUCACAUCAUUUCAUGUCCUGCUAUCAAAAGUUUCAUUGCCUUUAUGCUACUUAAAAAAGCUAUGUUAAAAUGCACACACAUAUGUAGGCUGAUUAAAUAACCUUUUGUUCCCUAACUCUAAAACAUAUUUUUUUUUCCCUUUGCUACUACGUGGAUCAAGCAGCUCUAGAGUCUAUGAAGUGAGCCUAAUUUAUUCCUGACUUGUGCUGGAAUAAUUUAUGUUCUUGAGCCUUUGCAGAUGUAUAGUCACUAGAGAGCUGCCUGCUUACGGGAGUUUUUACACAUAUUUUGUCUAAAUCAGAGCUCCAAAUGCAAUGUCGGAGAUGCAGGGAGUUUGUGUGGAUUUGUAGCACUCCCUGGAGGACUCUGUGUCUAUAAACCAAUAAACAUUUCACAAUUCUCAGCAAGUGAAGAUUUUCAUAAUUUCUGAUGUAUGCAGUAUUGACCAUGCUUCUCAUUUUAAUUUCAGUAAUAUUCCAUAGGUAAUAAGUAAUUGGAAAAUAAAUUCUUGCAGGUGAACGCUAAAAGCAAAAAUUAGUCUUUCUAUACUUAGCUGCUGCCAUUUUCUUAUUAUAAACUAAAGAGGCGAAACAAAAUAAUCAUUUAUAAACAAAACACAUCUCACACUGGUUGAAAACUACAGUGAGAUGCAGAUAUUUUGUGGCCAAAACAUUCAAAAAGAAGGCAGGAAGAAACAGCCAUCUCAUUUCUAUAUAGAUUGAUUAUUUUUUCUUUGCAUAUGUAGUUUGACCAUCACAGGUUCAGCUGAAAAUAGUUAAUUCUUCAGAAAACUGACUGUGCCAACCUGUAGGCAGAUGUGAAGGUUAAAAUUCCUAAUUGUUGCUCUGAAAUCAGUUGAUACAAAGGAUGAUUAAAUACAGGGUCAAGACUUCAAAUUUAUUCCUUAGUCAGUAAGAUGUUAAUUUGGUAAGAAAGUGACUACAAAAUGUUUUCUGAAAGAGUCAGAACCCAUUGCUGCAUGUGGAGAACUGCAAACAUACCGACAGCAUGUACGGCUGGUGUUUACAGAGGUCUAUGAAUAAUAAAUAAUCUAGUUAAAUAACCAUUGUUAGAGCUAUGCAAACAAGAGAGCAAAUAAAUCAAGACCUCCUGCUCAUGCAUAGAUACCAACCACAGUACUUUUUCAUUUUUUUUUCUUUGUUUUCUUUGUUUGCUUAAAUAGGAGAGACAAAUAGCGGAUGCAGGUGUAAUCAGCUAAAAAUUGUGAAGCUAGUAAGAAGUGUUUUGGAAAAGAUCACCAAGUGGAUCAAUCCCCCUAUCAGAAACAGUCAGCAGGGGAAAGCAGUUUGCACCAGUAUAUGUACCCUGCCAUUCAGACUGUAUCAAUUUGUUUCUGCAACUGGCAUAAUGUGGCACAGUUCAGAGAGAAUCUCACAUAUGACUGCUGACAUACAGACAUACAGUGCUGGAAGUAAAGGAGAUUCAUGAGCAAAAGUGAAAAGGCUGCUUUUUUUUUUUUUUCACUUUUUUUUUUUUUUCUCCUUCAUAUGGGAAUUCAACUGUUUUAUUUUGUAUAGUGUUAUAUGUAAAAUCCAUUCUUUUAAACUGAUAUUACUACAUUCAGUGCUUAUAGUAUUCUGUUUAUUGUUUCUCUGUGUGAUUGUCUAUCUGUGCAGAAUUUCAUAUGAAAAAAUGAAAUACAUGGAUUACAUAUCAAGUACCUGCUUCCUUGCGUUAUCCUAUCCAGAAAUAAUAAUGUUUUUUAUGUUGAAAGAUGGUUGGGAAAAGGUUAAUUCUGUAUCUGGAUAAGUAAGAUACAUUUAUUUCCUAAUUCUGUAUUUCAUUUCUGGGAAUUUCUAUGAUAUAACCCCCUCUACUUGCCUAUCCAGUUGCUGUUUAAAUAUAAUAAAAUGCAACACUUAUUCAUCU
Molecule: long non-coding RNA, 2388 nt
Filed under: Gallus gallus (chicken)
Lineage: Eukaryota; Metazoa; Chordata; Aves; Galliformes; Phasianidae
Description: lncRNA (ENSGALG00010021486.1)
Source: RNAcentral